Molecule: transfer RNA, 76 nt
Filed under: Occallatibacter sp.
Lineage: Bacteria; Pseudomonadati; Acidobacteriota; Terriglobia; Terriglobales; Acidobacteriaceae
Description: tRNA-Gly
Rfam family: tRNA
About the family: Transfer RNA (tRNA) molecules are approximately 80 nucleotides in length.
Source: RNAcentral
GCGGGCGUCGCCAAGCGGAAAGGCACCAGGCUUCCAUCCUGGCAUCGCGUGGGUUCGAAUCCCACCGCCCGCUCCA